This is a small nuclear RNA of Perognathus longimembris pacificus (Pacific pocket mouse), 105 nucleotides long. The record is from RefSeq and is a predicted model, not a curated record. NCBI's taxonomy places the organism in Eukaryota, Metazoa, Chordata, Mammalia, Rodentia, Heteromyidae.
GUGCUCUCUGGCAGCACAUACACUAAAAUUGGAAUGAUACAGAGGAGACUAGUGGGGCCCCUGUGCAAGGAUGACAGGCAAAUUCAUGAAUGGUUCUAUACUUUU